GGUCGUGUAGUGUAGUGGUUAUCACGUUUGCUUUACACGCAAAAUGUCGCAGGUUCGAACCCUGCCACGAUCA
RNAcentral lists this transfer RNA (73 nucleotides) under Fusarium graminearum. RNAcentral's name for it is "tRNA-Val (TAC) (tRNA-Val-TAC-1-1)". It matches the Rfam family "tRNA". Rfam says of the family: Transfer RNA (tRNA) molecules are approximately 80 nucleotides in length. Lineage: Eukaryota; Fungi; Ascomycota; Sordariomycetes; Hypocreales; Nectriaceae. RNAcentral also lists the same sequence under 3 other names. The record is from RNAcentral.